This 208-nucleotide unclassified non-coding RNA is filed under the name Hevea brasiliensis (rubber tree). The record is from RNAcentral. Lineage: Eukaryota; Viridiplantae; Streptophyta; Magnoliopsida; Malpighiales; Euphorbiaceae.
UGCUGAUGCUGAACCAAGGAAUCGGGAUCCUGACUUUGCUCAGCAUAUGGCUGAGCAUGAGGCCACUCUUAGUGAGCUUAACAAACAGUAUUCAGAUGCGCUGAAAGAACUGGAAGCUGAAAAGAAGCGAGGAAAGGAGCUAAAGCAAAUGAGAGAGGCUCAGGGCAUGCCAUUGUUGGAUAAACCAAUUGAGGAACUCAACUUGGAC